UCUCCAUGGCGGGGCCUCGGAGCCAAGACGAGGUUGAGUAGACUCGUUUUGAACUUUUUCUCCUCUGCUCCGGGGCUUUGUGGACGUCCCUCUUCGCCCGGUAGCCCUCUCCGUGGCGGCGGGGCUGGGGGAGUCGGAGGUUUGGUAGAGCUGUCUGCGCCGAUGGACCAGACGCCACCUCCCAAACCCCCUUUCUUCCUCCUGCCUCCUCCCUCCGUCACCUCCUGACCCGUCCGAGCUUUUACAACCGCCGGCCCCCGCCCCUCCGCGCACCGGGCGCUGGCUGCAUCUUUCGCGGUCUUCCUCAGGGUCUUUUCGGGGCCCAACAUGGCGGGCUUUACUGUCCCCGGCCCCGGAGGAGGCUCGGUGACCCCUCUGGAGACCGGCUGGAGGAGGAGGAUGUUAGGUGUUUUGAAGAGGGUUGCUAAGCCUGAAACCGCGUCACUGCCGCUGAGAAGGACCCAGAUCCCUUGGUCGGGAGCAUCUGUGGUGAUCCCUCACUCCGUUCCCCGCCCCCCUUUUUCGGGUUCUUUUUUUCUGUUUCUGAGCCCUUGUAUAUCUUAUGUUUAGAAGGGGAAAGGCGUCCUCCCACGCCCUCUCCCCGGCUUUUUAAUUUUUUUAUUUGGAGUUACCCAGAGGCCUAUGCCUUGUUCUCAGUGGUCCUGAGAAUUACUCUGAUUGAAGUUAGUUGUCUUCUGAGGAAGGUAGGAUGGAUGGAGAGAUGCUAUCCAGAUCCCAAAGUCACUUUGUAAGGCGUUCGCCAGAAAAGUUCCAACGGGGAACUUCAAGAGACAGCGGUUUAGAAUAAGGCAGCAGCUGGAUUGCGAAAUUUGUGGCCAGAGGCUGUUAAAUAAUAGGAUAAAAUGAAAUUGAAUAUGCUAUCAACAUGGAAAAGCCUAAUGAUUCAUUGAGAGUCAACCAUAAUGAUGCUGAAAAGUCAAAAACAGAUGCCCAGGUAUUUGAGCAUCUAACUUGUUUGGACUCCAGGGAUCCUUCCUUUGGAGAAAAUGGUUCUCCUACGGUUGGGCCCGUCACUAUUCAUGAAGCAGAUAAUUCACUCCCAUCACAAAAUAUACCAGGGUCCGUAAACCAGACACAGCCUCCUUCUGCAAAGCAUUUCCAUGUAGUGGACCAAAAUGGGCAACCUGUUCAAUAUGAACUUCAGUCAUUGGGGGAUUCUAAUGCACAAAUGAUGAUUAUUACCAGCCCAUCAGAAAAUGGACAGGUACUACAUGUAAUUCCGACUACCCAGACAGGAAUGACACAAGUAAUUAUACCUCAGGGGCACCCUGUGGAUGUGAAUAGUUCUCAAGUUGUCUCUGAAGAGAAACCCAGUGACGGAAGCUUACCAACUGUAAGUGUGGAUGGUCUAGCAGACAAUACCAGUAGUUGUUGCAUUCUUCAUCCACAAGCAUCCCUCACAUUUCCCAAAAAGACAGUGACCAGAAUACUUGAAGAACCUUUUAUGGCUCCUCUCCAGCCACUUUCUUCUAACACACCUAUAUGGGCCUGCCGUCUUAGAAGCUGUGAGAGAAUUGGAGAUUCAUACCGUGGCUACUGUGUAAGUGAAACUGAAUUAGAAAGUGUCCUAACAUUUCACAAGCAGCAAACUCAGAGUGUUUGGGGGACACGCCAAUCUCCAAGCCCAUCCAAGCCUGCUACACGCUUGAUGUGGAAAUCCCAAUAUGUCCCAUAUGAUGGAAUCCCAUUUGUCAAUGCAGGGAGCAGAGCCGUGGUAAUGGAGUGUCAGUAUGGGCCAAGGAGAAAAGGUUUCCAGUUAAAAAAAAUAAGUGAACAGGAAAGCAGGUCUUGUCAGCUCUACAAAGCCACUUGUCCAGCCCGGAUUUACAUUAAAAAGGUACAGAAGUUUCCUGAAUAUAGAGUUCCUACAGAUCCCAAAAUUGACAAGAAAAUAAUCAGAAUGGAGCAGGAGAAAGCCUUUAACACGCUAAAGAAGAACUUGGUAGAUGCUGGUGGUGUUCUUAGGUGGUAUGUACAGUUACCUACACAGCAGGCUCAUCAGUAUCACGAAUUAGAGACUACCUGCCUCACUUCUUCAUCUUCCCCUUUUCCUAUGUCUUCUCUUGAAGAAGAGGAAAAUGCAGUUAGAGAUGAGAACUGUGCAUUACCCUCACGUCUGCAUCCUCAAGUAGCACAUAAGAUUCGAGAAUUAGUGUCACAGGGAAUAGAACAAGUGUAUGCAGUAAGGAAACAGCUAAGAAAAUUUGUAGAAAGAGAACUGUUCAAACCUGAAGAAGUACCUGAAAGACAUGAUUUAUCUUUUUUCCCAACUGUAAAUGAUAUAAAAAAUCACAUCCAUGAGGUACAGAAAUCCAUGAGAAAUGGAGAUAUGGUAUAUAACUCAGAGAUUAUUCCAGCAACGCUUCAGUGGACUACAGAUAAUGGGAAUAUUCUCAGGGAGACUGUGACAGUUACAUUUGCAGAAGGAAAUUCACGGAGAGAAUCAAUGACCACCAAAGUGGAAGCAAAUCAAAUAGGAGGUUCUUUGUCUCCAGAGCCAACCCACUUGCUCUCCUCACUUUCCGCAUUUCAGCCCAAAAUAUUUGCACAAUUGCAGGUACCAUUUCCAUGAGCAAAGUUAAGCAGGAACCCAAAGAACCGGCAUUGUCUAUGGAAGCAAAAAAAAUUUUGGACUGUAAGAAAUUACCUUCUACAUAAAUUAUUGAAGUUUUCUAGAAUUUAUAAUUCUGGUCACGUCUGAUGUCUUAGAAAAGAAGGUUGAUAAACUAGAAAUGUCAACUAUAACUGUCAAGAAAUCAACCUACAGGCUUUUAUUCCCCCCAGACAUCAUUUGUGGGUAUAUUUAAAAUUCUAUUUUUAAACAAAGGGAUUUUAAAUGAAUAAUGUGUUUAAUAUUCAAUGCAUGCACAAUAUAAUAUGACUUUUAACCUUAAUACUUUGCAUAAAUAUAAGUCACUUCUGGCUUUUCUAAGUCCAGUCUACCAUUUUUAAUUCACUUUGUUUCAGGUAUAUGAAAUACAUCUAAGUAUAAAGCAUUCUUAAUUAGAAGUGGGUAGAAUUCUAAAAUUCCUUGCUCUUUAGAUUUAUAUACUAUUUAAUAUAAAGUUUAUUAUUUAUGCCCUAUUUAAUACAAAGUUAAUAUUCAGUUACAUAAAUGAUUUUUGUAAGAAUGGAUUUUCUUUUUCUAAGGAUUGAAAAUAUAUGAUGUAAACAUUUAAAGAGGUAGGCCACCAAAUCUGAUUAUGUAAUAUUAAAUUAAACCUUAGUUACCUCAAACCCAGAUUUCUCUUAGUCUGUGUGGGCCUAAAACGAAUUAGUCCAAAUUACUUUAUAGUUCAGUGAUGCACUGUCGGUAAUAUUCUUUACAUUUAUUAUUUUUAGUUUUUAUGGAAAGACUUUAUAUAAUAAGAUCUUCACCUUUUAAUAAUGGUAAUGGCUUAUAGUAAAUAUUUCAUCAAUUGAGCUGUAUUCUUUUAGAGACAUUACUUUCAUUUUGAUGUCGAGUUGCUAAGGAGAAAUGCUUGUUAAGAUACAAACCCUCGUCAGUUAAUUAUGCCAAUGAGAGAUAUCAAAGGAUUCAGACUUUGGCACUUGAUCAAGAACAAAUAUAGUUAAAACAUAUUUCUAUCACUUUGUCUAUGUGAAUGUCUCUUCUGAUACAGUUUUUUUUAUUGUGAGGACAGAAAGUGACAGUGCAUCCUCCCCACAAACAAACAAAAAAGAAUAAAACAAGAGCAUGAAGGAAGGUUUAAAUCCCUAAUUGUAUACUCUUUUGGUUUUUAGGUAGAAACUGGAACUAUCAAUAUUUUCAUGUAAGUAUUUCAUUAAGUAGCUCUUUAAACAUGGUUUUUAAAUGAGUUUUUAGAAAUUCAUUUAUCCUCUAAAUGCAUGUUCAGUCAGAAUGUAGCAGUAUUGUGCUUAAAGGUGCUUAGCAUUGCUUUAUAAAAACUGUGUUUACGUAUUUUUAAUGUUUAAUUAUUUUUUUGAAUACACAGGGAAUCAAGUACAAGUGCAUAAAAUUCACAGUGUCUAUAUUUGGCAUUCUCCUAACAGCUCUAUAGCAAAAUUUAACCUAUAUUCUUUUAUGUCAUACAUGACAAGCUGUAAUGUCUACCUCAGUGAGUUGGGCAUUCAGAAUAAGUAGUUAGAAAUUCACAUUUACAGCUGAUCUUGUUUCUUCAUUACAGUUUUCAUAUGCUAAGCCUCCAGGUAAACUUCUUAUAUAUUACAGUGAAUUAGAUAAAAACAGCCAUGGUGGGCCUUUCCCUCAAAGGCAAUUUUCUGUGUAAACAGUUAAUAUACUUAAAAGCAAAGACUUUUAUAUCUUAUGCAAGGUAAAUUUCCUAAAAGACACAAAAGUGAUGGAAAACAUAAGUUUGGGGGUCGGUUCCUGCAUUAGAGUUUCUAAUUUUGAGGUCCACCAGCUUGUGUAUUAUAUUUCUUUAUAUGCUGUCAAAAUUCAUAAUUAAUCAUAUGGGUGUGGGAAAAAAUGUUUAAUUUGUACCAGGUUUAAAAAGAGAUUUUAAAAUGUAUGUGUGUGUUUGUGUAGUAACUUAAUAUAUAGUGUCCCUGUUAUAAUGUAAUUGUUUUCAUUUUAAGAUACUGUGAUAUUUCUUUCUUAAACUUGUUAGUUUCCUUUUUUUACUUUUCAUGGAGUUAGUGGUAGUUUUUUUUAUCUUGAAGAUGCUGAAUGAACAUUUUAAUACCUGAGAACUUUUACUAGAGAUUUAUGUUUAUUUUGGAACCUGAAAGUUUUUAAGCACAACUACCAGUAACUCCUGUUUAGCAUUAGAUUUUGGGAUAUAUAUACAUUUAGUAUUCUUCAACUCAGCCACUUAUCCAAAUUUUAAAACAAUGCAUAUAAUAAGAUUUAAGUAAUCCUUUUUAUCCUGCAUUUUGGCAGUGUGACAUUUUCAGUUACAGCUUUAUAAUUUAGAAGUGAUAACAGAAGUAUGUGAUUGAAAAAGGAGGGGUCAUUAAUUUUUUCCCUCUUUGUUUUUUUUCUUUAUUUCUACUGUGUGACUGUUUUUCAGGGCCAUAAAAAAUCUUAGUCUCUCCUGAAGGGAGAAUGAAUUCACCCUUCUUUGUCCACUGUUUUGGGCUUCAAACAUCUCAUAUAGUGUACUGUUUUGAUAUCUGAACAUCUGUAAUUCUAUUUAAUUAACUUAGUUGUAAUGACAAAGCCUUAGUAUACUUUUGCCACAUACAUGUUGGGUAUGACUCUUUAAAUAAUGCAAGUAUUCAUUGCCUACUGAAUUCUUAAAACUUCAGGAAGGAAAUCAGUAUUUUUAAAAAAGCCUCAUUUUUUAAUGGAUGCUGAAAUGAUUCAUGUGAAAAAUGAAUAAAUUUUAUGGUUAAAAAAAUACCUUUGGGAAUGUGAUAUGGAUAUAAGAAUGCUAAAAGUGGAGUAUAUGAUGGGAAUAUGAUACCAUGAAGGUUUUUAUUUUUAAACAUCUUUAUUGAGGAAUAAUUGACAUACAGUAAAUUGCACGUAUUUAAAGUGCACAACUUGAUAAGUUUUGACAUUCAUAUAGAACUAUGAAAAUGCCACAAUCAAGAUAAUAAACAUACUAAGAACAAAGUUUCCUAGUACCCCUUUUUAAUUCCUCCCUCCUAGACAACCACUAAUUUGCUUUUUAUCAUUAAGAGAUCAGUUUGCUUUUUUUCAAUUUUAUAUAAAUAAAAUCAUAUAGUAUGAGUAUUUUGAUGGCUUGUGGUAUUUGGCAUAUAGUUAUUUUGAGAUUCAUCUAUGUUAUAGUCUGUAUGAAUAGUUCAUUCCUUUUUAAGGUGGACCAUUAUAUUCCAUUGUAUGAAUAUACCGCAAUUUAUCAGUUCACCUGUUGAUGGACAUA
Molecule: RNA transcript, 5834 nt
Organism: Choloepus didactylus (southern two-toed sloth)
Lineage: Eukaryota; Metazoa; Chordata; Mammalia; Pilosa; Megalonychidae
Gene: CARF
Gene name: calcium responsive transcription factor
Exons: 15
Source: RefSeq, a predicted model, not a curated record